Molecule: ribosomal RNA, 468 nt
Filed under: uncultured bacterium
Lineage: Bacteria
Description: partial 16S ribosomal RNA
Rfam family: Bacterial small subunit ribosomal RNA
Source: RNAcentral
GACGAACGCUGGCGGCGUGCUUAACACAUGCAAGUCGAACGGAAAGGCCCUGCUUUUGUGGGGUGCUCGAGUGGCGAACGGGUGAGUAACACGUGAGUAACCUGCCCUUGACUUUGGGAUAACUUCAGGAAACUGGGGCUAAUACCGGAUAGGAGCUCCUGCUGCAUGGUGGGGGUUGGAAAGUUUCGGCGGUUGGGGAUGGACUCGCGGCUUAUCAGCUUGUUGGUGGGGUAGUGGCUUACCAAGGGUUUGACGGGUAGCCGGCCUGAGAGGGUGACCGGCCACAUUGGGACUGAGAUACGGCGCAGACUCCUACGGGAGGCAGCAGUGGGGAAUAUUGCACAAUGGGCGGAAGCCUGAUGCAGCAACGCCGCGUUCGGGAUGACGGCCUUCGGGUUGUAAACCGCUUUCGCCUGUGACGAAGCGUGAGUGACGGUAAUGGGUAAAGAAGCACCGGCUAACUACGUG